This is a long non-coding RNA of Ostrea edulis (European flat oyster), 1464 nucleotides long. RefSeq lists it as uncharacterized. The transcript has 2 exons. The record is from RefSeq and is a predicted model, not a curated record. NCBI's taxonomy places the organism in Eukaryota, Metazoa, Mollusca, Bivalvia, Ostreida, Ostreidae.
GUACUUCCGGAUGUCUGCUACCAGCUGAUACAAACAAUAGACUGUUUCAUGGCUGAUAUAUUCGAAGUUUUUCGAACUAUUUUUAUUAUUGCCGUCGCUUUGGUUGCAGUAAUACUUUUCAUAGCUUGUGGAUGGUAUCUUGUAUGGAAGCUCUUCUUGUCAAAAUUCAAGUUUGUACAAGAACUUCUAGGGAAAAAUGAAGGGAGGAAUGUAGAGGUGGCCUCAAAAAAGCCCAGAACAAAGGUCAGGCGAGACUAGAGUGAAGGCUGAGGUGUUCAGUCAUAUUUGGUAGUAAGGUGGGAAUAACAGUAGAAGAAUUCAGCAAUGGUUCCACAGGGGUCAGACAAGACUAUUGUGAAGGCUGAGAUAGUAAAUUGGAAAUGGUGGAAGCGCAAACAACACAGCUUUUGGUGUGGUUUCUUGAUGAGCAAUUUUGUGUGCUGGAACUAAGACAUUACAUCAAGUAAUUUUCAGCAGUUUAAAAUAUUGUUUUCAUGUCCAGACUUAGUUCUGUAAAUAUAUACAGGUAUAUAUGUACUGUGACAAUGAGUGUGUGUGCAGUGUUCGAAAUUUGUUUAAAACUUGGUAUAGACCACGGGUUUAUGCCAAAACAAGAUGACAUAGACCUCAUUGAAUUGGCAUAGACCGCAACAUUGGGGAAAAAAAUAACACAAAUAUAAAACAUUUUCAUUUACUUCUAAUGUACUUAAAAAUCAUAUUUUCUUUCCAUUUCCAUAACAAUAUCCUCCUAUACUCAUAACGUUUAUCAGACGUUGACUGACCAUGCAGGGUCUAUUGGGAUAACUUUAUUGCUUGAAAUCUAGAAAAUCGGCAUAGACAAUUUGGUCUAUCCCAAUUACAACUGGCAUAGACCCGUGUCAUUUGACUCGGUCUAUGGUUAAUUUCGAACACUGGUGUGUGAAUAUAUACUGCAGACUCCUGCAGAACAACAAUGUGUUUUAUGCUGAAAGGAUAGAAUAUGUCUAAUUAAACAUGUUAGAUAUAAAAGUAUUUGCUUGCAACAUACAUGUAUCAUGCAAGUUUAUAUGUAACAAUUUGCUUUUACAAUGUACUUUGUAAUAUUUUGUAAACAACUUGAUUAGCCUUUACAUUUUAAUAUUGACAUGAUAUGAUAUUGGGUAUACAUAAUCUAUCAGGUGAUUGUACAUUUAUAUUAAAUGUUAGUGUCUGUGAGGAAUGUUACCUCUUUGUUUUUGUUUUUUUUUUAACAAAAUUUUAAAGAUACACAAUUUCAGAAUUUUACAUUUUAGAUGUCCCUUUGAUUGGUUGAAUAUGUCUAAGGUUACCAGUCUAUUCUUGAAAUAUAAAUUUUGAAACAAACAUCUUUGACACCGUGUUAACAUAUUUCUAGAUUACAGUUCACUCAGAGAAUGAAGCUAUUUCAUGCAUGUGAUCCAUCCACAGUAUUUAACACUGCUGUAUAAUAAAGUAGAUGGAAAACAA